CAAAGUGGCUAUUCAAUCAGUGCUCGCUGGGAGAUACAUGAAUCUAACUGAGAAAUUCAGGCAUCCUGCUCAUGUCUUCCCCUUCACAUCUUCUUUAUGUCCCAACGUCAGGCAUCCCCUCUGCUCCCUGGAGUGGAGGGGCUGAAGGAUGCUUUCCACUGGGCCUGGGAAAAUAUAAACACAUCUGGAAGGAGGUCGCUGCUGAGCAAACCAUGCUCCCCCCUGAGUACAGACAGGAUGAGGUGUCUAUAAAUAAUGUGAAGAGUGUGAAGAGAUUCUCUCCCCUGGGCUCCCUUUGCAAAAGGUUGAAGACCACUGGACCAGAAGUCAGAAGUGUGGAUACCGACCCCCCAACUAGGCCAUCUGUUGGCAAUCGAUGUCCGAGUCCAGUUUCACAACUGUAAAAUGAAGGCUAGUCUUCUGUUACAUGCCAGGCACAAAAGGUUUUUGGAAAGAAUAAAUUAAGUAAUGGAGCUAAAUGACCUGUAUUG
Molecule: long non-coding RNA, 491 nt
Filed under: Vulpes vulpes (red fox)
Lineage: Eukaryota; Metazoa; Chordata; Mammalia; Carnivora; Canidae
Description: lncRNA (ENSVVUG00000025288.1)
Source: RNAcentral